GACGAACGCUGGCGGCGUGCUUAACACAUGCAAGUCGAACGAUGAAGCCUUCGGGCGGAUUAGUGGCGAACGGGUGAGUAACACGUGGGCAAUCUGCCCUGUACUUUGGGAUAAGCCUUGGAAACGGGGUCUAAUGCCGGAUAUCACUUCUGACCGCAUGGUUGGUUGUUGAAAGUUCUGGCGGUACAGGAUGAGCCCGCGGCCUAUCAGCUUGUUGGUGGGGUAAUGGCCUACCAAGGCGACGACGGGUAGCCGGCCUGAGAGGGUGACCGGCCACACUGGGACUGAGGACACGGCCCAGACUCCUACGGGAGGCAGCAGUGGGGAAUAUUGCACAAUGGCGAAAGCCUGAUGCAGCGACGCCGCGUGAGGGAUGACGGCCUGG
RNAcentral lists this ribosomal RNA (385 nucleotides) under uncultured bacterium. RNAcentral's name for it is "bacterial SSU rRNA". It matches the Rfam family "Bacterial small subunit ribosomal RNA", at positions 28 to 419 of the family's 1533-position model. The record is from RNAcentral.